RNAcentral lists this ribosomal RNA (497 nucleotides) under uncultured bacterium. RNAcentral describes it as "partial 16S ribosomal RNA". It matches the Rfam family "Bacterial small subunit ribosomal RNA", at positions 28 to 507 of the family's 1533-position model. The record is from RNAcentral.
GAUGAACGCUGGCGGCGUGCCUAAUACAUGCAAGUCGAGCGAACAGACGAGGAGCUUGCUCCUCUGACGUUAGCGGCGGACGGGUGAGUAACACGUGGAUAACCUACCUAUAAGACUGGGAUAACUUCGGGAAACCGGAGCUAAUACCGGAUAAUAUAUUGAACCGCAUGGUUCAAUAGUGAAAGACGGUUUUGCUGUCACUUAUAGAUGGAUCCGCGCCGCAUUAGCUAGUUGGUAAGGUAACGGCUUACCAAGGCAACGAUGCGUAGCCGACCUGAGAGGGGGAUCGGCCACACUGGAACUGAGACACGGUCCAGACUCCUACGGGAGGCGGCAGUAGGGAAUCUUCCGCAAUGGGCGAAAGCCUGACGGAGCAACGCCGCGUGAGUGAUGAAGGUCUUCGGAUCGUAAAACUCUGUUAUUAGGGAAGAACAAAUGUGUAAGUAACUAUGCACGUCUUGACGGUACCUAAUCAGAAAGCCACGGCUAACUACGUG